This 496-nucleotide ribosomal RNA is filed under the name uncultured bacterium. RNAcentral's name for it is "partial 16S ribosomal RNA". It matches the Rfam family "Bacterial small subunit ribosomal RNA", at positions 29 to 507 of the family's 1533-position model. The record is from RNAcentral.
AUGAACGCUGGCGGCGUGCCUAAUACAUGCAAGUCGAGCGAACGGACGAGAAGCUUGCUUCUCUGAUGUUAGCGGCGGACGGGUGAGUAACCCGUGGAUAACCUACCUAUAAGACUGGGAUAACUUCGGGAAACCGGAGCUAAUACCGGAUAAUAUUUUGAACCGCAUGGUUCAAAAGUAAAAGACGGUCUUGCUGUCACUUAUAGAUGGAUCCGCGCUGCAUUAGCUAGUUGGUAAGGUAACGGCUUACCAAGGCAACGAUGCAUAGCCGACCUGAGAGGGUGAUCGGCCACACUGGAACUGAGACACGGUCCAGACUCCUACGGGAGGCAGCAGUAGGGAAUCUUCCGCAAUGGGCGAAAGCCUGACGGAGCAACGCCGCGUGAGUGAUGAAGGUCUUCGGAUCGUAAAACUCUGUUAUUAGGGAAGAACAUAUGUGUAAGUAACUGUGCACAUCUUGACGGUACCUAAUCAGAAAGCCACGGCUAACUACGUG